RNAcentral lists this long non-coding RNA (321 nucleotides) under Elaeis guineensis (African oil palm). Its description in RNAcentral is "long non-coding RNA (EGUI_LNC062976)". Lineage: Eukaryota; Viridiplantae; Streptophyta; Magnoliopsida; Arecales; Arecaceae. The record is from RNAcentral.
CAGCAUCGAGAAGACCAUUAAUGAGUGAGCAGACAUCCAAGUGGUUUCUUUUAUUGGUCACGCUCAGUGCAAGUUAUUCUCUAACAACCACUCAUACCCUUACUCUAGUAUCCCUACACUGUAGACCUGAGACUCAUCUGCCUAUAAGGAAGGUGAACCGUACAUUGAUCUCGAAUGAAUUGAUCACUAUCCUCUAUGACGAUCCUUUGAUCGGGAGUAUUUAGAAAUUAACCACUAAUUAAUGUAUGUCUCAAAUUCUCAAUACUUUGAGAAUAUAUAAAAAUUAUCUUUAUUAAUUUUUAAGAUAAAUCAUGGACAUAU